CAGUAGCCACGGUAAUAUGGAGGGUGCAAGCGUUAAUCGGAAUUACUGGGCGUAAAGCGCACGCAGGCGGUCUGACAAGUCAGAUGUGAAAUCCCCGGGCUUAACCUGGGAACUGCAUUUGAAACUGUCAGGCUGGAGUCUUGUAGAGGGGGGUGGAAUUCCAGGUGUAGCGGUGAAAUGCGUAGAGAUCUGGAGGAAUACCGGUGGCGAAGGCGGCCCCCUGGACAAAGACUGACGCUCAGGUGCGAAAGCGUGGGGAGCAAACAGGAUUAGAUACCCGAGUAGUCCCUGUCUCUUAUAC
RNAcentral lists this ribosomal RNA (301 nucleotides) under uncultured bacterium. Its description in RNAcentral is "partial 16S ribosomal RNA". It matches the Rfam family "Bacterial small subunit ribosomal RNA", at positions 509 to 807 of the family's 1533-position model. The record is from RNAcentral.